RNAcentral lists this ribosomal RNA (253 nucleotides) under uncultured bacterium. RNAcentral describes it as "partial 16S ribosomal RNA". It matches the Rfam family "Bacterial small subunit ribosomal RNA", at positions 524 to 776 of the family's 1533-position model. The record is from RNAcentral.
UACGUAGGGGGCUAGCGUUGUCCGGAAUCAUUGGGCGUAAAGCGCGUGUAGGCGGUCCGGUAAGUCCGCUGUGAAAGUCGGGGGCUCAACCCUCGAAUGCCGGUGGAUACUGUCGGGCUAGAGUACGGAAGAGGUGAGUGGAAUUCCUGGUGUAGCGGUGAAAUGCGCAGAUAUCAGGAGGAACACCGAUUGCGAAGGCAGCUCGCUGGGACGUUACUGACGCUGAGACGCGAAAGCGUGGGGAGCAAACAGG